This 777-nucleotide long non-coding RNA is filed under the name Nicotiana benthamiana. Its description in RNAcentral is "long non-coding RNA (NBEN_LNC010771)". Lineage: Eukaryota; Viridiplantae; Streptophyta; Magnoliopsida; Solanales; Solanaceae. The record is from RNAcentral.
AACUAAUCCAUUAACUAUUUGUUCAUUCUACAAACUACAUAACUCACUAAAUAACAUGCACAUGUGACAACUACAUAUUACAAUUUUUUAAACAAAUGAAGUUUUAGUUUUUGUUCAUUCUACAAACUACAUGCACAACUGACAACUACUGAUUACAAUUUUUAAACAAAUAAAGUUUUAGUUCAAUACAAACUGCUCAAAGCAUCUUUAUUGAGUAAUGGAAAUAGACUAUACAAAUACUUAUCACAUAAUUUAUUAAACUACAGAUACAACACACGAUUCAUUAAUUUCCUAGCAUUUCAUUUCACUUGUACAUCUUACAGCUACAUCGCAGUGAUUCGAAAGUAUACCAUUUUACAAUUCAAAUGGCCGAAAAAAUGGUGGUAUGCCAAGAAGGAUAUUCGGAGAGGUCGCCGGAAUUUGGCUGGAUUUUGGUCGCCAGAUUUUUGAGGUAGAACUCAAUAGCUAGGUCUUGAGGAUCUCUAUCCGUUGAUGUAUGUAUUGUGUGGUGGUAGUGGCCAGAACUUCAAUAACUUGGGAGAAAAAAUGACGGGAAAAUUUCUUAGAUCUAAGAUUCAAGGAGUUUGAGAGUUUUUUUGAAGGAUAUGGUUUGGAGAUUUGGAAAGAGGAGGUGAUGGAGAUUACAUGGUUAAAUUUUGGAGCGAAUUGGAGGUCGGCCACCGCCGGUGGGCGAUUUCCGGUGGCGCAAUGGGGAGGCACCGUCAGUCUUGGGAGAGAGAGAAGAGAGAGUGAUGAGAGGGAAAGAAGAUAGAGGAA